RNAcentral lists this ribosomal RNA (253 nucleotides) under uncultured bacterium. Its description in RNAcentral is "partial 16S ribosomal RNA". It matches the Rfam family "Bacterial small subunit ribosomal RNA", at positions 524 to 776 of the family's 1533-position model. The record is from RNAcentral.
UACGUAGGGCGCAAGCGUUAUCCGGAAUUAUUGGGCGUAAAGAGCUCGUAGGCGGUUUGUCGCGUCUGCCGUGAAAGUCCGGGGCUCAACCUCCGGCCUGCAGUGGGUACGGGCAGACUAGAGUGCGGUAGGGGAGAUUGGAAUUCCUGGUGUAGCGGUGGAAUGCGCAGAUAUCAGGAGGAACACCGAUGGCGAAGGCAGAUCUCUGGGCCGUAACUGACGCUGAGGAGCGAAAGCAUGGGGAGCGAACAGG